GGAAUUAUUGGGCGUAAAGCGCGCGCAGGUGGUUUCUUAAGUCUGAUGUGAAAGCCCACGGCUCAACCGUGGAGGGUCAUUGGAAACUGGGAGACUUGAGUGCAGAAGAGGAAAGUGGAAUUCCAUGUGUAGCGGUGAAAUGCGUAGAGAUAUGGAGGAACACCAGUGGCGAAGGCGACUUUCUGGUCUGUAACUGACACUGAGGCGCGAAAGCGUGGGGAGCAAACAGGAUUAGAUACCCUGGUAGUCCACGCCGUAAACGAUGAGUGCUAAGUGUUAGAGGGUUUCCGCCCUUUAGUGCUGAAGUUAACGCAUUAAGCACUCCGCCUGGGGAGUACGGCCGCAAGGCUGAAACUCAAAGGAAUUGACGGGGGCCCGCACAAGCGGUGGAGCAUGUGGUUUAAUU
This 406-nucleotide ribosomal RNA is filed under the name Bacillus sp. (in: firmicutes). RNAcentral's name for it is "bacterial SSU rRNA". It matches the Rfam family "Bacterial small subunit ribosomal RNA", at positions 547 to 951 of the family's 1533-position model. Lineage: Bacteria; Bacillati; Bacillota; Bacilli; Caryophanales; Bacillaceae. The record is from RNAcentral.